This 177-nucleotide ribosomal RNA is filed under the name Pleurotus flabellatus. Its description in RNAcentral is "partial small subunit ribosomal RNA". Lineage: Eukaryota; Fungi; Basidiomycota; Agaricomycetes; Agaricales; Pleurotaceae. The record is from RNAcentral.
UUAGUCGGUCUCGGAGCAAACGAAGUGAAGCAUGUUAUUUAAUACGACAAUACGCGUAUAACCUUACCAGACCUUGCAUAUCUAGCUCUUUUUAUUUUUUUAAUUUGAGUGAGUGAGUAUAUUUUUAAUCUUUUUUGAAAAUAAUACGCAGAUACAGGUGUUGCAUGGCUGUCGUCA